Salmo salar (Atlantic salmon) is the source of this 54-nucleotide non-coding RNA. The record is from Rfam. Lineage: Eukaryota; Metazoa; Chordata; Actinopteri; Salmoniformes; Salmonidae.
AAUGCACCAAUUUGUAAGUCGCUCUGGAUAAGAGCGUCUUUUAAAUGACUAAAA